RNAcentral lists this unclassified non-coding RNA (4297 nucleotides) under Hevea brasiliensis (rubber tree). The record is from RNAcentral. Lineage: Eukaryota; Viridiplantae; Streptophyta; Magnoliopsida; Malpighiales; Euphorbiaceae.
GUGAUCCAUGGACCCUUUAAUUUCUGUUCAAUCUGGGCUUCAUAUAUAAUUUCCUUCAAAUUUCAUGGUACAGGGAAUGUUUCUAUUAUGGUUAACAACUGUGAUUCCACAAGCAAGGCCAGCCCCUUGUGUGCAAUUCAGUGACAGUUGCCCUUCUGCCACAACAUUACAGCUUCUGUUUUUAUAUUCAUCUCUUGGGCUCAUCUCCAUUGGAGCCGGUGGAGUAAGGUCUUCUUCUUUAGCCUUUGGGGCUGAUCAACUAGGGAACGGAGAGAACCUUAAAAAUGCACAAAUCCGAGAGAGCUUCUUCAGCUGGUACUAUGCAAUAGUCUCUUUUUCUGUAGUUAUUGCCAUGACUUGUGUUGUUUACGUUCAACAAGUGAUGGGGUGGAAGGUGGGUUUUGGAGUUCCUGUGGUGCUCAUGAUCAUGUCAGCUCUUUCUUUCUUCUUAGCUUCUCCCAUUUAUGUCAAGUCAUCACUACCCAAGUCAAGCUUGCUUACUAGAUUUGCUCAAGUUUUUGUUGCUGCCUAUAAAAAUAGAAGCAUUCCAUCAUCAACCCAAGCCACCAAUGAAGUGUACCAUAGUAGGAAGGAUACAUUGCUUCUUGCUCCAAGUGAGAAAUUCAGGUAUCAUCAAAUAGUAAACUGCUUCUUGUAAUGCAAUUCUAAACCGAAAAUUUGAUUAAGCAUCUUCUAAUGGGAUUUUCUAACCCUGUCUUAGGUAUCUAAACAAAGCAUGCAUUAUCAGAAACCCUCAAGAAGACCUGAUCGCAGAUGGAAGCGCUUCAGAUCCAUGGAGUCUUUGUACAGUAGAUCAAGUAGAAGAGCUAAAGGCAAUUAUCAAGAUAAUCCCAAUAUGGUCAACAGGAAUGAUGAUGUCUGUGACUAUAAGCCCAGGCUCGUUUCCAGUACUCCAGGCAACUACCAUGGACCGACACAUUACUUCAAAAUUUGAAGUUCCUGCAGGCUCCUUCGGCGUUUUCAUGGUUAUCUCCAUUUUUUUAUGGAUUAGUCUCUACGAUCGUGUAAUUAUCCCUCUAGCAUCAAAACUCAAGGGAAAACCUGUUCGUUUCAGCUUGAAACAAAGAAUGGGAAUUGGGAUUCUACUCUCUUCCACAUCCAUGGCAGCAUUAGCAAUGGCAGAGAGCAUUCGGCGAGAAACUGCAAUCAGGGAAGGAUUUUCAGAUGACCCUAAUGCUGUGGUGCACAUGUCUGCACUGUGGUUAUUGCCAUACCAUGUCCUAGGUGGAUUGGCAGAGGCCUUCAAUGCAAUUGGACAGAACGAGUUCUACUACACUGAGUUGCCCAAAUCCAUGUCUAGUAUAGCUGUCACUUUAGCUGAAAUGGGAUUUUCUGCGGCAUAUAUUGUUGCAAGUUUUAUAAUGACUAGUGUUGAUAGUUUAACUAAGAGAGGAGGAGAGGAGAGUUGGGUAUCAAGCAACAUUAAUAGGGGUCACUAUGAUUAUUACUACUGGCUUCUUGCUAGUCUGGGCUUGGUUAACUUCUCAUAUUAUCUCUUUUGUAGCAAGGCUUAUGGUCCUUGCAGGGGAGAAGGGUAUAAUAACCCUGAUGAAGCUACAAGAGAGAUGACCAUUGAUUAGUUAUUAAGGUCUAGGAACAGAAGUUGUUCAUCAAUAGUUUAGCAUGAUUUCUGAAUAUUUGGCUUUCUAUGGUGGCUGGAUUAGGAAUUUUGUAUAAUUAUUUUGUUUCUGUUUAGGAAUAUAUAGAUUAUAGCUAGUUUUAGUCUUGACAUUUCUCUCUAUUCUAAUUUGAACCCACCACAUGAAGAGUGAUAUUUAAGUUUGGAAAGAACUUAAGAUUCAACUAGCAAAUUUUAUUCCGUAAAAUAAACCUGAAGCUAAGAACCGGGAGGAUCCAUAUUCAUCUCUAGGCAUCGUAGGUCUUGUUCAAAGGCAAACGCUUGAUGAAUUCCAAAACAACUGCAACAGAAUUGUUGGCAGCAAGAGAGGUGAAAAUGUCAGCCUCAUUAGAAUGGGCAGAUCCACCUCCUGCCAAGUCAGAGAGAGCUCUAAAAGCUAUAAAAGGAAUCUUUUGCUGCAGGCAUAUCAAAGCAACAGCUGCAGUUUCCAUUUCCACAGGGCUUACGUUGAAUUUAUCAUAUAUGAAGCUUCGAUAAGCUGCAUUAUCCAGGUAAAUGCUUGAACUUACUCCUCGUGCCACUGUCACCACUUUUGGGGCCACCGAUAAACACGUUGUUGAGUUCAAGCAGUUUUCUAGUUUCAAGUCCUGAUCAAUAUAAGCAACCAGAUAUGCCUGUAAAUUCAUGAUCAUAAGAUACUUUAUUUUUUUUUUUGGCAUACUAAUAUUUCUUUUUUUUUUUUUUUAAGUUGGAGAAUUUCUUAUGUAGACUUUAGAAAAUGCUUUGAAUUCCAGGUGAGAUUUCUGUUUGUUUACAAAGAAAACUUUCUAAAUAGUUUGAAUCGGUAUCUAUGUGCUGUUUCUAUGAAGCAUUUAGGAUAUUUUGCGCUUUAGAGAAUGUUUUGACUUGGCAAAUAGGAAGAUACUGAGAGCUUUCCUUCUUGUUUUAUAAGCUCAGAUGUGAAGUAGCCCUUAGUUAGACUUCAAGAAAUACAAGCUGGACUUCAUCUUUAUUGAUCUGAAAGUUAUCAAUGGGCGCUAUAUUGAGUGUAAAUAGUUUGAGGACUGUAGCUAGUGAGGUAUAUGAAGUAUCACAGAGUGAAACUUGCAAGAGACAGAGGUUGUCAUUGAUUUCUUGCGAGGGGAAUGCACGAUUGAUUCCUAGCCUUCCUGAUGAGAUAUCAAUUCAGAUACUUGCCAGACUUCCUAGGAUUUGUUACAUGAAAAUGAAAUUAGUGUCUCGUGCUUGGAAAGCAGCUAUUGUAAGUGCUGAACUGUUCAAUGUGAGAAAAGAACUUGGAACAACUGAGGAGUGGCUCUAUAUAUUAAUGAAAGUUGAAGAUGAAAGGUUUUUGUGGUAUGCCUUGGAUCCAUUGUCCCGAAGAUGGCAAAGAUUGCCAACAAUGCCUGGCGUUUCUUUUGAAGAUGAGCCCAAGAAGGGUUUGGCUGCACUUAGAAUGUGGAAUGUAGUGGGCUCAAGUAUCAAAAUUGCAGACACAGUAAGAGGUUGGCUUGGAAAGAAGGGUACAUUGGACCCAUUACCCUUUCAUGGCAGUGCAGUUGGGGCUAUUGAUGGCUGCCUCUAUGUGUUAGGGGGACUCUCUAAAGCUUCAGCCAUGAGAAAUGUGUGGCAGUAUAAUCCUAUUCUAAAUGCUUGGAGUGAGAUGAAUCCAAUGUCCAUUGGUAGAGCUUUUUGUAAGACAGGCAUCUUAAACAACAAGCUUUAUGUUGUUGGAGGAGUUGCUAAAGGCCGUGGUGGACUGACCUCACUUCAAUCUGCAGAAGUGUUUGAUCCUCGUACUGGUGUCUGGUCCGAAAUUCCAAGCAUGCCUUUUUCAAAGGCUCAGGUAUUGCCUACUGCUUUUCUGACAGAUUUGCUCAAGCCCAUUGCAACAGGAAUGACAUCAUACAGAGGAAGGUUAUUUGUGGCUCAGAGCUUAUAUUGCUGGCCUUUUUUUGUUGAUGUUGGCGGAGAGGUUUAUGAUCCGGAGUUGAAUUCUUGGGAUGAAAUGCCAAAUGGAAUGGGUGAAGGUUGGCCAGUAAAGCAGGCAGGAACAAAACUGAGUGUCACUGUUGAAGGUGAACUGUAUGCACUUGAACCAUCUAGUUCUCUUGAUAGUGCUAGAAUUAAGGUAUAUGAUUACCAAAAUGAUACCUGGAAAGUUUUGCUUGGAGACAUUCCUAUUAGUGACACUAGUAAUUCGGAGUCUUCCUAUUUGCUUGCUGGUUUACUUGGAGAGCUUCAUGUAAUCACUAAAGAUGCCAACAACAACAUUAUAGUUCUACAGGCAGAUGUACAAAAUCAUUUAGCUUCCUCUUCCUCAUCAUCUUCAUCAUUUUUAUUUGAUAACUCCUUCCGCGAGGAGGCUGAGUCUGCAGCAGAAUCAGAAAUACAUUUUUGGAGGAUCAUUGCAUCUAGAAAUGCUAGUUCUGCUGAUCUGGUUAGUUGUCAGACCCUUGAUCUGUAGUUCCAACACUAGUUGUCAGACCCUUUCUGUAAUUCAGUGUGCUGAUGUAUGUGUUAUAUAUAAUUUGUUAAGUUCUUACAAUUAUAAAGAGAUAAUACUUGAAUGGAAAAGAAAAUUUAUUUUAGUAUUUCAAAUCUAUGAUGUGAUCCAUGAUAUAUAGGCACUUGUAAACAUUUCUUGAGUUCUUGUGUGGGUGUGGUUAAACGAAUGGAUAAUUUAAUGAAAGGGCA